Molecule: ribosomal RNA, 253 nt
Filed under: uncultured bacterium
Lineage: Bacteria
Description: partial 16S ribosomal RNA
Rfam family: Bacterial small subunit ribosomal RNA
Source: RNAcentral
UACGUAGGGUGCAAGCGUUGUCCGGAAUUAUUGGCGUAAAGGGCGCGUAGGCGGCCACCGCAAGUCGAUUGUGAAAUCUCCGGGCUUAACCCGGAAAGGUCAACCGAUACUGCGGGGCUAGAGUGCAGAAGGGGCAACUGGAAUUCUCGGUGUAGCGGUGAAAUGCGUAGAUAUCGAGAGGAACACCUGCGGCGAAGGCGGGUUGCUGGGCUGACACUGACGCUGAAGUGCGAAAGCUAGGGGAGCGAACGGG